This is a long non-coding RNA of Sorghum bicolor (sorghum), 1946 nucleotides long. RefSeq lists it as uncharacterized. NCBI's taxonomy places the organism in Eukaryota, Viridiplantae, Streptophyta, Magnoliopsida, Poales, Poaceae. The record is from RefSeq and is a predicted model, not a curated record. The transcript is spliced from 2 exons.
UUACAUUGUUAUUGAUAUGUAUUAUUUUGUUGGACAAAUCUCUACUAUAAUGCACCAAUCAAAAUUAUACUAGAUCCCCCAAAUAAAAUGUCCCCCACUGAGAAGUUUCAACCAUCGUGCACCCAGAAAAAUGUACACAGAAAUCUACCUCUAUUAAAAUCAAGGGUUAAUAAACACCUACACCAAAAUUGAUGGCCAGGAUUGAAUGUUUGAAGCCAGGCUUCUCACCCGCGCCCUCCCUCCCACACAUGAGGGCUUCAAACACGCGACACCACCCAACGCAUCCAGCGUUCGAUUCGCUGUUGCGCCCGCAUUUAAUUUUUAAUUUUCAUCCGAAAAGAAUUCUCGGGCGCCUUCAUCCUGUGCCGCCGGCUCCAUCUCGCGCUGCUCUUUCGCCAGUGCUGCGACUCGUCCCUCCUCCACCUUCCAACAACCGCGACUCAUCGGAUUCCCAAAUCCUAAUCCCAAGUAAGACCUCUCCUCGACCACGGCUCCGGUCGCGCCUGCCCUGGCGCGCCGCAAAUGGCAAAGGGCACGUUCAUCUGGGUGUGGAUGCAGCCGUGGGAAGGUUUGCGGCAGAGAUCCGUCACUCCACACGAACUUCGAUAGCACCGAGGCCGCCACGAUGGCCUAUGAACAGGCGGCCGUAUCCAUCUAGGGCUCGUCGCCACACUCAACUUCCCCAUGGAAUACGCACAGGAAUCUCUCCGAGCGCAAGCGUUGCGCGGCGUCGGCGCGGCUGGUGGCUCCGCGGGAUGCUCGCCCUGGCACUCAAGUCACAAGAAUUUUAAGCUUCUAGCGGCGAUGGGCUUGGCCAGGAUGGCACGAGGGGCGGUUGCGCGAUGCUCGUGGCCAGCAGAGGCGGUAUUGUCCUGUCGGCUCGCUGGCCGAGGACGAGCGGAGGGAAGAGCAGCGGCUGCAGCUCCAUGGCACGGUGGCUGACGAAACGUGGUGAUUGGCCUUUGCUCACGCUGGGCGCACAUGACAAAGGUGACCAAGGAAAAGAAGCGGCGUCAAUGUCGGACUAGCUCAAUGAUACCUUGUGCGACCUCCGGUAAGAAACGGUUCUUGACAUGGGUGUAGCCUGCCAAAUGUUUGAGAAAAUGCCUACAUACAGGGUAACACGGUCAAUGAAAAGUAGACAUGUGCUCUGAUUCAUGAAACAUCAUGCAAAUUUGCUGAGAAUAUUUAGAAUCUACGCCUUUAGAAAUAUGCAACUGAUGUUCACAAACAUUUCAGAUCAGGCCUAUUGACAUUUUCUUACUACGUAAUGUUUACUUCAUUUCAAACAUUAAUCUACUGAAAUGUGCGAAGAUUUAAAAAAUUAGUUACUAGAUGUUUCUUGGGUACAAUUGAUUUUUUUUUGGCAUUGUAACUUUAAAAUUCUCUUAUUAAGGAACAAAGCACGGCAGGGUCUAAUCCUUUAUUUGCUGUGACAGAUUAUUAGUCACUACAACUUAAGGAAGAUCUCUUUGUUUUUAAAUCCUCAUUUAUCCAUUCAAUUUGCCUGCUGCGUGCCGAUAUAAUUUCAUAUAGUGGCAUCAACAAACACAAGUACGCUUGGAUUGAGGAGGCAUCACCAACAUAGAACAAGAAGGAUCUCUACUUGGGCACCUUCUGGGCCAAUGUGUCUGGUGGUAGGGAUUUCUAUUUGAAGGAUGCAUUGCAGAGUGGAGUGGCAGCAUGCCCGAAGAAAGCCCUGUCCGGUGUCUCGGCCAUAAACUAUUGUUUAUACUAACUGUGGUUUAUGAACUUUAGUACCCUUCUUAGUAGUGUUGUGUGGGCCUGUCUAUUUUUUCUAUAUGAAGUGACUAAUUUCUGCGAGACUGAAUUUGUAUUUUUUUCAUUAGUUGAUUUAUUGUUCUGUUUUAUGAUUUAUUUUAGUUUUGCAAUAUACUAUUGUGUAAAGUUGAACUGUGGAAAAAUUUAUUGUUUGAUUGUUUAUA